Molecule: RNA transcript, 1182 nt
Organism: Carcharodon carcharias (great white shark)
Lineage: Eukaryota; Metazoa; Chordata; Chondrichthyes; Lamniformes; Lamnidae
Gene: tmem254
Gene name: transmembrane protein 254
Exons: 5
Source: RefSeq, a predicted model, not a curated record
GACCCUCUUCAAACAAUGAUACAUUUAGUAGCUGUGAGGAAGGGGAGUUGCAGUUGAGAAUUCUGUGGGAAGAUGCCAGGUACAGUCUCCAGUACUUACUUCAGGAGGACCAGCCUCUUCUGGAUAUCUGUUAUCACUGGAUCCUUUGGGUAUUACACUUUGCUGAUGUUUUGGCCGCAGAGUGUACCAUACAAGAGCCUGGGACCCUGGGGUAGCUUCUCCAAGUACCUGGUGGACAACUAUCACCCCUACUUGUAUAUUGGAUACUGGUUGGUCUGGGUUCUUCACCUUGCUGAAGCACUGUACAGUGUCAAACUCUGCAGUGACAAAGGGAUCACAAACAUAAACGUCCAACUCAAGUGGGCAUUUCAGACGUUUUUGUUUGGUAUCACCUCUCUCUGGCACCUAUUGUCCUACGAACCACAGCAGAAGGAAAAAUGAAGACAUAGCAACAGAGGCACCUUCCUCAUCUUAAAAUGAUGGCACCAUUUCAACACCAUGGGCAUUGUGGAGGCACUGAGUUCAGUUGCAGUCAAAGAAAAGAAUUACGCCCAUCAUCAGAUUCAACCACAGCUGGACUCAUGUUAGGGUUCACCAACAGCCUGGUGAACAAUAGUGGCAGGUCGGCAAGACCUUGGGAUGACCUCCAAAAAGACAUUAUACGUGAGUGAUAUAACUGAUCACAAAUCCACCCACACCCCAGCCAUUUCUUCUUAGACUUUCUCUUACCCUCAUAAACUUAGACUAGAAGUUUUGGCAAAGCUGUAGGCAGCCAGAAAACCAACAGAAUUCACCAAAGAGAAAAAUUGGUAGGUUGCCUUGGGAACAAAGGCUGCCAUAUUGUCUGACCUGGAAAUGAAGUCAUGGAGGUGACGAUGACACAUACAUGACUUCCUAAAGCCUGUCACUUGUCAAAGAUUUCUCUCCAACCUGUUGAAGGCAAUAAACCAUGCCCAAUAAGGCCUGUCAGCUCUGAAGAAGGGUCGUACUGUGGUAAAGUGGAAUGCUAUGUACUUUUAAGAGAACGUAAUUAGUUGACCAUGUAACUGUAUUGACUAAUUGCUACACAGCAGGGGCUUCUUGGGUAACUGGAAGUUUAGAGCUGGAGGUGAUUGAAGAAGCGCACAUGGUGUUAGUGCUCUGUUCUUAGUUCCAAUAAACCACCAGUGUUUGUUAAGUUAA